This 253-nucleotide ribosomal RNA is filed under the name uncultured bacterium. RNAcentral describes it as "partial 16S ribosomal RNA". It matches the Rfam family "Bacterial small subunit ribosomal RNA", at positions 524 to 776 of the family's 1533-position model. The record is from RNAcentral.
UACGGGGGGGGCAAGCGUUGUUCGGAAUUACUGGGCGUAAAGGGCGCGUAGGCGGUUUGCUAAGUUGAAUGUGAAAACUCUGGGCUUAACCCAGAGCCUGCAUUCAAUACUGGCAGGCUAGAGUUCUGGAGGGGAUAGCGGAAUUCCUGGUGUAGCGGUGAAAUGCGUAGAUAUCGGGAGGAACACCAGUGGCGAAGGCGACUUCCUGGCCUGUUCUUGACGCUGAGGCGCGAAAGCUAGGGUAGCAAACGGG